UACAGAGGUGGCAAGCGUUGUUCGGAAUUACUGGGCGUAAAGGGCGCGUAGGCGGCCCUCUCAGUCAGACGUGAAAUCCCCCGGCUUAACCUGGGAACUGCGUCUGAUACUGGAGGGCUCGAGUUCGGGAGAGGGAUGCAGAAUUCCAGGUGUAGCGGUGAAAUGCGUAGAUAUCUGGAGGAACACCGGUGGCGAAGGCGGCAUCCUGGACCGAUACUGACGCUGAGGCGCGAAAGCCAGGGGAGCAAACGGG
This 253-nucleotide ribosomal RNA is filed under the name uncultured bacterium. RNAcentral describes it as "partial 16S ribosomal RNA". It matches the Rfam family "Bacterial small subunit ribosomal RNA", at positions 524 to 776 of the family's 1533-position model. The record is from RNAcentral.